AAAGAAAAGUGGCACCAGUAUUGUUGCCUCCCUCAUACCCUCAAGGUCCCAGACGUGAUAGUCCUCUAGGAGCUCUGAAGAGUGGAGACCAGGGUAGAUGAUGGAUCACCGGGUAAACCAUGAAGAAUGCCGGGAUAUGGAGCAGCAGUAGUGACCACACCUACUGGGACAACCCAUCUUGUCACUGUCCUAUUAGACAAGGUCCAAGAUAGGCUGUUUGAAAGUACCUCACCUGGGAAGGCAAAUGCACCCCCAUGGACAAGAACUUCACAUGAAUUUUCAAGAUUGGCAGUGAACUUCACAGUGGAUGUGAUCUCACGUUCCACCAAUAAAAAUCCCCGGGGUAAAAAGCAUAAAGAAAGAAGAAGCCAUUUUUCCUGGCUUCUCCAG
Molecule: long non-coding RNA, 390 nt
Organism: Heterocephalus glaber (naked mole-rat)
Lineage: Eukaryota; Metazoa; Chordata; Mammalia; Rodentia; Bathyergidae
Source: Ensembl